Molecule: long non-coding RNA, 441 nt
Organism: Pseudophryne corroboree (corroboree frog)
Lineage: Eukaryota; Metazoa; Chordata; Amphibia; Anura; Myobatrachidae
Exons: 3
Source: RefSeq, a predicted model, not a curated record
ACAAAACAGGUACAACAUACACAUCAGCCUACCGGGGAAAUUCCCUGCCCGCCGGUAUGAUGCUGCUUGUACGGUAUUGCAAUGAACAAACAGCAAAACAAAUUCUAUUUCUCAUCUUACAAUACGGAGUAAAUACAAAAGAGGAACUCUUCGUUACUCAGUACGCAGUCUCAGCUGACACACAAUUCCACAGGCUAACUCAGAAAAUCCUCACUGAAUACAUCACAGCGUGUUUUAUAGACAAGAUGGCACCGCCGUGGGGGAACUCCCGGCCAAGUUAUCUCUCCAGAAUAAUGAGGUUGCUUCAAAAGCAGGAACAUAAGUGGCUGAAAAUGGUUCUUCACGAAUGUUAACAGGAAAAGGAAAAACACGAAUGUUUCCAAUUUAAUGUUGAUGGGUGGUUUGGGUGAUAGAAUUCUCUCUAGCGUUAGGAGAUCUGAG